CUAUUAUUGUUGUAGAUGAUUGAAUACUGCUGUUAUUACUUUGACUGCUGUAUGUAAUCUGACAUGUUGACUGUGUCUGUGCUGACAGGAGGAUGGCCCGAGUUUGAGAUCCACAGGACUCAGCUCUGAAUGUGCAGAUGUCGAUGGUAGCAGUGAGCCUGAACAUGAGGAGGAGGCAAAAAGUCGCCAUAUGCUUUAUAUACAGAAGCUCAAAUCACACCAUGACAUGUGUGAAAAGCGCUACGAGGCGGCACAGGCAGAGAGGCAAAAGGAGGAGAGGAAGAGGACCUUGGUUCUACAUUGUCAGCAGGAUACAGCACCGGACAGAGAAGCUCUCGGGUUGGUGUCAGAGGAAUCAAGUUUUGAAUUUAGUGAGGAUGACUAUGUCCCUGAAUGUGGAGUAACCAGC
This is a long non-coding RNA of Epinephelus fuscoguttatus (brown-marbled grouper), 409 nucleotides long. RefSeq lists it as uncharacterized. The record is from RefSeq and is a predicted model, not a curated record. NCBI's taxonomy places the organism in Eukaryota, Metazoa, Chordata, Actinopteri, Perciformes, Serranidae. The transcript has 4 exons.